CGCCUCGGAGUCCCGCGGGGGACGCUCUCCUAAAGCGGGUGUCGCAGGUUCGAAUCCUGCCGGGGCAC
RNAcentral lists this transfer RNA (68 nucleotides) under Ornithinimicrobium cryptoxanthini. RNAcentral's name for it is "Ornithinimicrobium sp. JY.X270 tRNA-Arg". Lineage: Bacteria; Bacillati; Actinomycetota; Actinomycetes; Micrococcales; Ornithinimicrobiaceae. The record is from RNAcentral.